GACAGAGGGGGCAAGCGUUGCUCGGAAUUACUGGGCGUAAAGGGCGCGUAGGCGGGAUGGCAAGUCGGUCGUGAAAUCCCUCGGCUCAACUGAGGAGCGUCGAUCGAAACUGCCGUUCUUGAGGGUUGCAGAGGAGACUGGAAUUCCCGGUGUAGCGGUGAAAUGUGUAGAGAUCGGGAGGAACACCGGUGGCGAAGGCGGGUCUCUGGACAGUUCCUGACGCUGAGGCACGAAGGCCAGGGGAGCAAACGGG
Molecule: ribosomal RNA, 253 nt
Filed under: uncultured bacterium
Lineage: Bacteria
Description: partial 16S ribosomal RNA
Rfam family: Bacterial small subunit ribosomal RNA
Source: RNAcentral